Molecule: long non-coding RNA, 607 nt
Filed under: Buteo japonicus
Lineage: Eukaryota; Metazoa; Chordata; Aves; Accipitriformes; Accipitridae
Description: lncRNA (ENSBJAG00000005150.1)
Source: RNAcentral
AGGCUCCAGUACCGGGAUGAUGGGAGCAGCCCUGAGGCAGGGGGUGCUCCGGGUCCCCGCUGCCCCCAGCACCCAGGGGGAUGGGGAGGGUCCCCUUGCCGUGCUGAGCGCUCCCUGUGCCCCGUGCAGAGCCCCUCGCCGGCCGGCUCCCUGGUGGAUGCCAUGUCCCAGAAGCACCUGCAGAUCAACCAGACCUUCGAGGAGCUGCGGCUCAUCACGCAGGACUCUGAGAACGAGCUCAAGAAGCUGCAGCAGACGCAGGAGUACUUCAUCAUCCAGUACCAGGAGAACAUGCGCCUCCAAGCCCAGUUCUCCCAGCUCUCCCAGCUGGGUCCCCAGGAGCGCCUGUCGCGGGAGACGACGCUGCAGCAGAAGAAAGCGUCGCUGGAGGCUUGGCUGCACCGGGAGGCCCAGACACUACAGCAGUACCGUGUGGACCUGGCCGAGAAGCACCAGAAGACGCUGCAGCUGCUGCGCAAGCAGCAGACGACCAUACUGGAUGAUGAGCUGAUCCAGUGGAAGCGUCGGCAGCAGCUAGCGGGAAACGGGGGUCCCCCUGAGGGCACCCUGGACGUGCUGCAGAGCUGGUGGGUGCUGGCGCCGGCCG